AUGGAGGGUGGCGUGGAUGAUCACGGUGGUGAAGAUGAAGUUGAGGAGAUAGACGAGGGGGUGUAUGAGAAAGCGCAAGCAAAAAAAGGUGCGAGAUCGAAGAGCUGCAUGAUGUUAGAAGACCAAAUAUUGAUCAACGCUUGGAGUGCGGUGUCUCUUGAUGCUUGCACCGGUACAUCUCAAACCACCAAGAGGUAUUGGCAAAGGAUCGAAGAUCAGUACUUCCGUAUGAUGGGAAAGUAUCCCAAUAGGACUCCACGCACCUUUGGGUCACUCCAAGGUUGUUGGGACGUGAUCAAGCCGAUUUGUAGCGGUUGGGCUGCUUGCUUGGAACAAGUUUGCAAUGCACCUCCAAGUCUAACCGUGGAAUCUGACUAUGAGAAAAUUGCCCAACAAAGAUACAAAGGCAUGGAAGCUUCCGAAGGCAAAAAAUUUAAACUAGAGCAUUGCUAG
RNAcentral lists this ribosomal RNA (453 nucleotides) under Triticum aestivum (bread wheat). RNAcentral describes it as "partial small subunit ribosomal RNA". Lineage: Eukaryota; Viridiplantae; Streptophyta; Magnoliopsida; Poales; Poaceae. The record is from RNAcentral.